Molecule: ribosomal RNA, 1041 nt
Filed under: Triticum aestivum (bread wheat)
Lineage: Eukaryota; Viridiplantae; Streptophyta; Magnoliopsida; Poales; Poaceae
Description: partial small subunit ribosomal RNA
Source: RNAcentral
AUGCCAGGAUCACAAGCCGACGAGACUGACUGGGAGAACCUGACGAAUAAGGAGUUGCAUGAUAAAUUUCAGCAAAUGAUGAGUGGACAAGUGCAAGAUGUGCUAAACAGAUUUGAAGAGGCCAUGGAGAAGAUAGAUGGCAUGGAGAAGACGUUUGAAACAAAGCUCGAUAAUAGGUUUAAUGAAUUGCUCGCGCGUCUUCCACCACCACCACCGGCUUCCCCUAACGCACAUCUACAACAACAACAACAACAACAACAACAACAACAACAACAACAACAACAACAACAACGUCGCUUUCCAAAUCAAGUGGGACGAGCACAACACAUUCCCAUUGACCCUAGGCAAAAUUUUGGUGCCGCUGUUGAUGCUUCUGCCGCUCCUGCUGCUACUGCAGAGGUGGAGGACCAUUACGAGGAUGAGGUUGACCAAAAUCAGAACUACGUGCAACCACCAGCACCACCACCACCAGGUCGUCCUCAUGCAUAUCAUCGCAAUGGUAGGGCUGCACCACCACCUGAGGUACAUGACCAUCUUCGUAAACUAAAAUUGAAUAUUUCACCAUUUGAGGGUAGAUAUGUUCCUGAUAUAUAUCUUACUUGGGAGUUAGAAACUGAACAACGAUUUACAUGUUUACAAUAUCCUGAGGAGAGACGUGUUCCUGCUGCUGUUUGUGCUUUCACUAGAUUUGCAUGUGUUUGGUGGUCUGAACAUUGUAGAUUAUAUCCUAUUCCAGCUACUUGGGCUGCUUUGAAAACUGCUAUGCGUACUCGUUGGGUUCCCCCAUAUUAUCAACGUGAAUUACUUCAAAAAUUACAGCGUUUAAGACAAGGAAAAAAUUAUGUAGAAGAAUAUUAUCAGGAAUUACAAACUGGCAUGAUUAGAUGUGGUAUUGUUGAGGAGAAUGAAGCUAUGCUUGCACGUUUUAUGGGUGAAUUAAAUAGAGAGAUUCAUACCAUUCUAGAGUAUAAGGAGUAUACUAAUAUCACUCGUUUAUUCCAUCUUGCGUGUAAAGCUGAACGUGAAGUGCAGGAUCGAUAG